This is a non-coding RNA of Pelobates cultripes (western spadefoot toad), 256 nucleotides long. The record is from the annotation of a GenBank genome assembly. Lineage: Eukaryota; Metazoa; Chordata; Amphibia; Anura; Pelobatidae.
AAGAUGAAGUGGCUAUCCUGGGUACCCCGUUUAGUGACCAGUGGUCGGACCCAACCUCUCCCUGAAGGGAUGAUGUGACAAGACCAAUCUCGCCACAUUGCAUUGGAGAAGCCUGGUUGCUCGCCUGCUGCCUCUGGACUAUGGCCCCCUGUUAAAAGACUUUAUUUUGCCUGCAGAAAAGCUGUAUUCAUGCUUUUCUGCCGGUUGUUCGGUAGAUUCAAUCUACCGAACAACCGCACGAAUGAAUAGACCACCU